AAUAGAUACCCUGGUAGUCCACGCCCUAAACGAUGUCAACUAGCUGUUGGGGUCUUCGGACCUUGGUAGCGCAGCUAACGCGUGAAGUUGACCGCCUGGGGAGUACGGUCGCAAGAUUAAAACUCAAAGGAAUUGACGGGGACCCGCACAAGCGGUGGAUGAUGUGGAUUAAUUCGAUGCAACGCGAAAAACCUUACCUACCCUUGACAUGUCUGGAAUCCUGAAGAGAUUUAGGAGUGCUCGCAAGAGAACCGGAACACAGGUGCUGCAUGGCUGUCGUCAGCUCGUGUCGUGAGAUGUUGGGUUAAGUCCCGCAACGAGCGCAACCCUUGUCAUUAGUUGCUACGAAAGGGCACUCUAAUGAGACUGCCGGUGACAAACCGGAGGAGGUGGGGAUGACGUCAAGUCCUCAUGGCCCUUAUGGGUAGGGCUUCACACGUCAUACAAUGGUCGGGACAGAGGGUCGCCAACCCGCGAGGGGGAGCCAAUCCCAGAAACCCGAUCGUAGUCCGGAUCGCAGUCUGCAA
RNAcentral lists this ribosomal RNA (527 nucleotides) under uncultured bacterium. Its description in RNAcentral is "bacterial SSU rRNA". It matches the Rfam family "Bacterial small subunit ribosomal RNA", at positions 777 to 1310 of the family's 1533-position model. The record is from RNAcentral.